This 338-nucleotide transfer RNA is filed under the name Borrelia miyamotoi. Its description in RNAcentral is "partial 16S-23S ribosomal RNA intergenic spacer". The stretch from base 87 to 161 matches the Rfam family "tRNA". Lineage: Bacteria; Pseudomonadati; Spirochaetota; Spirochaetia; Spirochaetales; Borreliaceae. The record is from RNAcentral.
UGGGUCCCUCCUUUCUAAGAGAAGAAGUAUGUUUAAAUUUAAUUAUUAUUUUAACUCUUUCCCUUGUUUUCUCAAAGGCUUUUUUGGGGGUUUUAGCUCAGUUGGUUUAGAGCAUCGGCUUUGCAAGCCGGGGGUCAAGGGUUCGAGUCCCUUAACCUCCAUUUAUUUAUUGUUAAAUAGGUAUGCAGCCUUUUAAGAAAUGGCUUUGUUUUAUAUUGAGUGAAUGAAUUUUUCAUGGCUUUAAAAGAUGUGUUUUUAUGUUGUUUGUUGUCUUGAUGAAUUGCUUUUUAUGAAUUCCAAAACUUGAUUACAUGCAAAAAGUUUAUCUCUAAUUAUUU